CUAGUGUUUGCGGGUCGCUGCAAAAUCAGUGACCGGGUUUGGUCGCCCGGGUU
This 53-nucleotide non-coding RNA is filed under the name Pseudomonas fluorescens HK44. The record is from RNAcentral. Lineage: Bacteria; Pseudomonadati; Pseudomonadota; Gammaproteobacteria; Pseudomonadales; Pseudomonadaceae.